Molecule: ribosomal RNA, 520 nt
Filed under: uncultured Glomus
Lineage: Eukaryota; Fungi; Glomeromycota; Glomeromycetes; Glomerales; Glomeraceae
Description: SSU rRNA
Rfam family: Eukaryotic small subunit ribosomal RNA
Source: RNAcentral
AGCAGCCGCGGUAAUUCCAGCUCCAAUAGCGUAUAUUAAAGUUGUUGCAGUUAAAAAGCUCGUAGUUGAAUUUCGGGAUUAGUACGCUGGUCGUGCCUUCGGUAUGUACUGGUGUUACUGAUUCCUACCUUCUGAAGAACCGUCAUGUCAUUAAUUUGGUGUGGCGGGGAAUCAGGACUGUUACUUUGAAAAAAAUUAGAGUGUUUAAAGCAGGCUCGCGCUUGAAUACAUUAGCAUGGAAUAAUGAAAUAGGACGUUCGAUCCUAUUUUGUUGGUUUCUAGGAUUGACGUAAUGAUUAAUAGGGAUAGUUGGGGGCAUUAGUAUUCAAUUGUCAGAGGUGAAAUUCUUGGAUUUAUUGAAGACUAACUACUGCGAAAGCAUUUGCCAAGGAUGUUUUCAUUAAUCAAGAACGAAAGUUAGGGGAUCGAAGACGAUCAGAUACCGUCGUAGUCUUAACCAUAAACUAUGCCGACUAGGGAGUCGGAUGAUGUUAUUUUUAAUUGACUCAUUCGGCGCCUU